UACAGAGGGUGCAAGCGUUAAUCGGAAUUACUGGGCGUAAAGCGCGCGUAGGCGGUUGUGUAAGUUGGAUGUGAAAUCCCCGGGCUUAACCUGGGAAUGGCAUUCAAAACUGCACGGCUAGAGUAUUGGAGAGGAAGGUAGAAUUCCAGGUGUAGCGGUGAAAUGCGUAGAGAUCUGGAGGAAUACCGAUGGCGAAGGCAGCCUUCUGGCCAAAUACUGACGCUGAGGUGCGAAAGCGUGGGGAGCAAACAGG
RNAcentral lists this ribosomal RNA (253 nucleotides) under uncultured bacterium. RNAcentral describes it as "partial 16S ribosomal RNA". It matches the Rfam family "Bacterial small subunit ribosomal RNA", at positions 524 to 776 of the family's 1533-position model. The record is from RNAcentral.